CUGGUUUGUAGAUGCGGCCUAGCUUGGUGGCUACCUGCUGCUGGUUUGUAGAUACGGCCUUGCUUGGUGGCUGGCUGCUUGUGGUGGUGGAUCCGGCCUAGCUUGGUGGCUGGCUGCUCGUGCUGGUGGUAGAUUCGGCCUCGCCUGCUGGCUACCUGCUGGUGGUGGACCUGUCCUGGCCUGGUUGCACCCUACUGGUGGUGGUGGAUCCGGCCUAGCCUGAUGGCUACCUGCUGCUGCUGUUGGUGGUGGCGGAUCCGGCCUAGCUUGGUGGCUGGCUGCUGGUGGUGGAUCCGCAGCUUGGUGGCUACCUGCUGGUGGUGAUGGUGGAUCCGGCCAGGCCUGAUGGCGAGCUGAUGGUGAUGGAUCCGGCCUGAUUUGGAGGCUGGCUGCUGGUGGAUCGAGCCUAGCAGCUCGCUGCUGGUGGCUAGCUGUCCUGACUUGUUAAUCGAUGAAGGGCAUACAAACGCUGGAUUUUGCUCUAUGGAAGAACAGCAGUGACAAGCACCUUCCAACUCCAUUUCGGAUGCAGCAGGAUUCCAAGCGUUUCUGCCUGCCUAGGGACACACCCACUUGGUCACAUUCCCAAGCACUCUCCAAGACUUCCGGACUACUGCAGAACCCCACUUUCUAAUUUUAUUGGUAUAGGAGUUGAUAAUACAUGAAUAAACCCUUUGGCGAGCUACAUGAAAAGUGAUUGGGAGCUACUGGUUGUGUCUUGCGGGACUACCACUGACUGGUAGUGGAAAAAGGCUGUUAGCAACUCCAGACAUCGGUGAACUUGUAAUUUGCACAACACUCCCGGUAUGCA
Non-coding RNA from Doryrhamphus excisus (bluestripe pipefish), 811 nucleotides. The record is from RefSeq and is a predicted model, not a curated record. Lineage: Eukaryota; Metazoa; Chordata; Actinopteri; Syngnathiformes; Syngnathidae.